ACUCGUUGAUCCUGCGAGAGAAUGCUGCUAUUAGGAUUCGAAUUAGACAUGCAAGUCAGGGAGUCCGCAAGGACUACCGGCGGAAUGCUCAGUAACACGUCGAUAAUCUGCCCUCAGGUUGAGGAUAACCUUGGGAAACUGAGGCUAACACUCGAUAGGGGAUUUCUUCUGAAAGGAUUUAUCCCUUAAAGGCAACGCCUGAGGAUGAGUCGGCGGCGGAUUAGGCUGUUGGUGGGGUAAUGGCCCACCAAACCUGUGAUCCGUAGGGGCUUUGAGAGAGGUCGCCCCGAGAAGGGUACUGAGACACUGACCCUAGCCCCACGGGGUGCGGCAGUCACGAGAACUUUACAAUGCGCGAAAGCGUGAUAAGGGAAUCCUAAGUGCUCAUACAAUGUAUGGGCUUUUGCCGACAGUAAAUAUGUCGGAGAAUAAGUGGUGGGCAAGACUGGUGCCAGCAGCCGCGGUAACCCCAGCGCCACAAGUGGCAUUCACAUUUACUUGGUCUAAAGCGUCCGUAGCAGGUUUGAUAAAUCUUUUGUGAAAUCGCCGGGCUUAACUCGGCGGCGUGCAGGAGACACUAUCAGACUUGGGACCGGGAGGAGUCAGAAGUAUUCUUUGGGGAGCGGUAAAAUGCUAUAAUCCAUUGAAGACUACCAGUGGCGUAGGCGUCUGACUAGAACGGAUCCGACUGUGAGGGACGAAAGCUAGGGGAGCGAUCCGGAUUAGAUACCCGAGUAGUCCUAGCCGUAAGCGCUGUGAGUUAGGUGUUGCAUAAUCUAUAGGAUUAUGCAGUGUCGAAGCGAAGGUGUUAAACUCACCACCUGGGAAGUACGGCCGCAAGACUGAAACUUAAAGGAAUUGGCGGGGGAGCACCACAAGGGGUGCGGCGUGCGGUUUAAUCUAACUCAACACAGAGAAUCUCACCAGGGGCGACGGCAGGAAGAAGGUCAGUCUAAAGGGCUUACCUGACGAGCCGAGAGGUAGUGCAUGGCCGUCGUCAGCUCGUGCCGUAAGGUGUCUUGUUAAGUCAAGCAACGAGUGAGACCCAUACUCACAAUUGCUAACAGGCUGGCUUCAGUGACUGAGCACAUUGUGAGGACUGCUUUGGUAACAAAGAGGAAGGUGUGGGCCACGGUAGGUCUGUAAGCUCCGAAUCCACUGGGCUACACGCGCGCAACAAUGGUAUGGACAAUGGGAUACAACCCCGAAAGGGGAAGUCAAACCUCUAAACCAUAUCUUAGUCCGAAUCGAGGGUUGAAACUCACCCUCGUGACGUUGGAAUCCCUAGUAAUCAGAAGUCAUCAGCUUCUGGUGAAUAUGUCCCUGCUCCUUGCACACACCGCCCGUCAAACCAACCGAGCAGGGUUUAGGUGAGGCCGGGUUUAUUGAUCCUGUCGAAUCUAAGCUCAGUGAGGUGGGUUAAGUCGUCACAAGGUA
Molecule: ribosomal RNA, 1437 nt
Filed under: metagenome
Description: bacterial SSU rRNA
Rfam family: Archaeal small subunit ribosomal RNA
Source: RNAcentral